This is a non-coding RNA of Coturnix japonica (Japanese quail), 3639 nucleotides long. Lineage: Eukaryota; Metazoa; Chordata; Aves; Galliformes; Phasianidae. The record is from RefSeq and is a predicted model, not a curated record.
GUGAGGGUAUCUUGCUGGAGAUCCCUGUGUACCUGGAGCCUUCUGAAGGCUGUGAGCAGAGCUAUACACAAACCACAGAAUUUCUGAAGACAAUGCAAAGCAUCAAAACAGCCUCAGCACUGGAGCAAGCUGUGGCUGCUUACAUGAUGGCAGUCUGAUAUGCCAACAGACAGCUGAUGAACUGAGCUCACUUCUUAACAAGCCUCCAAUCAAGACGUCUACUUGCUUUGGACAAAAGAGCUUUCAAUGAGAUGACUCCCUUCAGAGACUGUUCACCAGAGCCUGUGUUUCCUAAAGGAGGUGUUGGCUCUGAUUCAGGCUAGUCUGGCAGGACAGCAUGCAUCCACCUCGUGCUGCAGCAACCUCAGCAAUGCCUUCUCUCACAGAUCUCUUUUUUGACUCCUCGCUUCUUUUCCUGCAGAAUGGGAGCAGAGCACAGCCCCCUGGUGUGUGCUGGUUUCUCCUGUUUCAUUCCUGCUCUCUGGCUUUUUACAUCUCACUGCCUUCUCCUGCACACAGGACAUCCUCCUCUUCUUUUUACAGGUUGCAGCUCCUCCCUAUGUCUGCUGAUCACCAAGGAUGCUACGUAAUCAGAUGUACAGGCCUCUUCCCAGAGAACUGUGGAUGCAGCAGUGUCCCUUUUUUGCAUUUGUCAUGUUACUGCUCCUACGUGCAUCUAAAUUCAGCACCGUCAGCUCUCAAAUUUAACUUCAGCGUGAGCAGCUUCAUUUGUAAUGGCUUUAGCAAUGCAAGAAGAAAACUACACUUACAGUUGUGCCCAGUGCUAUGUACUGCAUUACCAGAGCACCCUCACCCAGCAGGAGGGUCAGCACUGCUCGCAGCAAAGGAGAGGUCUGGUGAGCUGAAAGCAACCAGCCCAGACAACAGCAGAGAUGGAGUCAGGACUCCUGGGUCCACUGCAUUUACCCACAAAGCCAUUUGUCAGCACCAGACUUGGAGAGCUGGAUUAGCUGUUCCAAGAGCCCACUUCACCCUCAGAUGGAUGCCUAGGCAGGUUGUAUAUUAGUACAAGUACACCUCAGCCAGCGUGAAAAAAUCAAGGCACUUUGCUGCACACACUGCAAGCUGCAGAAUUGUGUUCUGGCAGCAAGAAGUUGAUAAGUGAAGUUUUAAUUUCGCUGAGCUAGUUGUGAAGUAAUGCUGGUUCCAUGUUAAGGAGAGACCAACGAGCAGGUGACAACACAACACAGAUCAUCUCGAGGCAUUUUCCUUUGGAUAUCUAUAAUUAUAAACCAACUAUUACCAGCUUUGCUCUCUCUCCACAGUAAAUAAUUAACUGCAAAAGCAUAUUCCUCUUGGCCCCAUCCUCCUCGAUCAAUAUGGCUUCAGGACUAUGUGCUGCCAGGACUGCUCACUAUAGCAGAGCACUCAAAGCAUUUCACGUGACAGAGGAACGGUGUGACUUCAAUCACUUCAGCAGAGACCUUUCCUUCCCAAUACAAAGAGGUGUCAUCAUGUAACUCCUGUACCUACAGCAGGAAAGUGCAGCAUGCAUCACUUAGAAGAUACAUUACAUCACUUGCACAAAGACACAAAAACAAGUCUGUCAUUUGAUCCUGGUCAUUCUCUUUGUAUUCUAAGACACUGGAUUAUUCAGUUAAAAAUCACAUUGUAAAGGCACAAGCAAAAAUAAGUGAUGGAAGAACACUCCAGAAUUGCAGAAACACCCUUCUCACAACCAGCCAGAAUGCCAGGGAGAGGCAGAGCAGCGCUGCCACUGAGCAAACAUCUUCAUACAGUCACUGGGUUUAGUUCAGCUGCUGACAAAGAGUUCAGUCAAAAUCUCCACCAAGGUGGAGUAAAAGGGAGAAAAUUUAGACUUGGAAAGCUUGAAAAGAGUGGCUGAAAAAUAAGGCAGAUGAAAGAAAAGCCAUGAUAGACUGAGAGAUAAAAGUAAAGGGAGAAAGAAAAAAAGGGGGGGUGGGGGAAGUAAGUGAAACAGAUACUAAGAACAGCUCAGGAAAAGAGAAACUGUGAAAAAGUAGAAUGGAAACUAGAAAGGCGAUGAGAGAAAGAGGAAUGGGACAGGGUAGAGCAGCUGAGCAGCACUUAGCAGAUGUCAUUUGUUUAAACUCAUUGUAUUUGUCAAAUAAUUUACUUAAUAUUCCUUUUUGGCAUCCAGUGAGCCGUAAAGCUGAUGAAAUAGCAUUUUGUACAAUUAAAAGCAUUGAAUGCAUUCAAUUCUUACCAAUAUUAAACUAAUAAUACAUCUAUCUGCUGGCUCUAAGUUUACACUUCAAAAAAAUAUAUAUUAAAUACGAAGCUGGUAAUAAAUUACAAUUAAAUAUAUGAGCCUGGGGUGCAACUGUGCUGCUCUUCUGGGUUGCCCAAAGCAGAGCAGCACAAUGCACCUUGAAAGAUGGCAAGCUGGGGCCUGGUCAGCAUUCCUGCCCCUUUGCUUCUUCACCAAGAACUCUACACAGGGCAGCCUUUGCCUCAGUUUUCACCACGUUGAUUUUUCCCUCUCAAUCAACUUCAGAAGGCUCUUUUCUCUCAAAAGCGUGAAGUUUUGAGUCCUGGUGACAAACGCUGUGGACAGCCCAGCCUGGAUGAGCGGGAAGGCUGGAGGGGAUCCAUGCUGUUGGGCUGUCAUAUUGGGUAACAGAUGUUUGGAAGCUGCACUUUACCUCCCCAGAAGGUUAAGGAAGACAGCGAUGUGGCAAAUGGUGCUUUAGUACUGCUGCUCUCCCAUGGAACGCUUCCUAAGUGCCAGCAGCCUGCUUCACUGCUUCUUGGAGGAGCCAAGGAAAGAAGUCAAGCAGCAACUGUCAGCCUGCUUCUCCCUUUCUGGUCCAACAGCACUGUAAGAGUCCCCUCAUGAUGCUCUGAGCAAAGAAUCUCCUUUGGAGCUUCACGGCAACCCCUCUCAAGUGACUCACAGAGCCCACAGAAGAGCCUCCCUUAGGCCUUUGGUCUUACUUCAAUAUCAUGGCACGAGCGUGACCCCAAAUGGAGGUCACUAUUGCUAAUUACCAGAUCACAGCACAAACAGAAAAGGUAUGACUGCACCAAUGUUUGCAUGGAGAUCUGGAGGCUGUGCUGACAGCACCCACCCAGCACGGCCCAGCAGUGACAGCCACCAGCCUGCAGGCCCACCAGCAGGCCGAGCCAGGAAUUCCUUCAGCUCUGGCUGCCCUGCUGCUGAAACAACACCGUUUGCACGUUGUUAAUCAGACCGGGACUGUGCCAGAGGAGUGGGCUGCAGUGCCUGGGUGUGCAAAGGGGGGACAGAUGACUUCACAGCCACAGCUCUCUUGCAAGCACUGGGAAAACCAUGCAAGCUUCAUUCUCCAGCUGCAAAACCAGAACACUUCAGAGUUCUGCAAGGAUAAAUACAUCAGCAGUUCUGACCAAAGCAGUGCCUGCGUCCCCUUAUCUCUGAUGGCCUGGGCUGGGGGAGGAAGAGUGGCCGCACCAUAGCCCCGUGUUGGCACACGCAGUUGUGGUACACGCAUCCCUCCCUGUUCUCCUGCACGGUGCCGGGUGCCCGAGGCGCACAGUUCCGUGCGUGCUUGGAUCAGGCUCUGCAGAGGAGCACGGCCAACAGGAGCUCGUGCCUAUCGGGCACCGCCGAGGCAGCCGGGAGUAACUGCACGGAGCGACGGAGACAACUUCAGG